AACGAACGCUGGCGGCGUGCCUAACACAUGCAAAGUCGUGCGAGAAAGUUCCUUCGGGAGCGAGUAAAGCGGCGCACGGGUGAGUAACACGUAGGUAACCUGCCCCCCAGUCUGGAACAACUAGAGGAAACUCUAGCUAAUGCCGGAUGAGACCACGAUCCCUUCGGGGGUUGCGGCCAAAGAUGGCCUCUACUUGUAAGCUAUCGCUGAGGGAUGGGCCUGCGGGCCAUUAGCUUGUUGGUGAGGUAACGGCUCACCAAGGCUGUGAUGGCUAGCUGGUCUGAGAGGAUGACCAGCCACACUGGGACUGAGACACGGCCCAGACUCCUACGGGAGGCAGCAGUGGGGAAUAUUGCGCAAUGGGACGAAAGCCUGACGCAGCGACGCCGCGU
RNAcentral lists this ribosomal RNA (392 nucleotides) under uncultured bacterium. RNAcentral's name for it is "bacterial SSU rRNA". It matches the Rfam family "Bacterial small subunit ribosomal RNA", at positions 29 to 402 of the family's 1533-position model. The record is from RNAcentral.